CCUACGGGAGGCAGCAGUGGGGAAUAUUGGGCAAUGGGCGCAAGCCUGACCCAGCAACGCCGCGUGAAGGAAGAAGGCUUUCGGGUUGUAAACUUCUUUUCUCAGGGACGAAGCAAGUGACGGUACCUGAGGAAUAAGCCACGGCUAACUACGUGCCAGCAGCCGCGGUAAUACGUAGGUGGCAAGCGUUAUCCGGAUUUACUGGGUGUAAAGGGCGUGUAGGCGGGACUGCAAGUCAGAUGUGAAAACCACGGGCUCAACCUUUGGCCUGCAUUUGAAACUGUAGUUCUUGAGUACUGGGGAGGCAGACGGAAUCCCUAGGUGAGCGGUGAAAUGCGUAGAUAGUAGGAGGAACACCAGUGGCGAGGGCGGUCUGCUGGACAGCAACGGACGCUGGGGCGCGAAAGCGGGGGGAGCAAACAGGAUUAGAGCCCCCAGUAGUC
RNAcentral lists this ribosomal RNA (443 nucleotides) under uncultured bacterium. RNAcentral's name for it is "partial 16S ribosomal RNA". It matches the Rfam family "Bacterial small subunit ribosomal RNA", at positions 338 to 795 of the family's 1533-position model. The record is from RNAcentral.